This 4804-nucleotide unclassified non-coding RNA is filed under the name Exaiptasia diaphana. RNAcentral describes it as "intraflagellar transport protein 172 homolog, transcript variant X2". The record is from RNAcentral. Lineage: Eukaryota; Metazoa; Cnidaria; Anthozoa; Actiniaria; Aiptasiidae.
UAUCAUCCGAAGAAGCGGCAAGCAAUGGCGACGAAGUAGAAUUCAGCAAAAAAUAUAUAAUAUAAUCGAACGAUUCCUUAUUCACAGUUGUCAACAUGCAGCUACGCUACAUGAAAACGUUGAUGAACCCACAGGAUGGCGCCUGUAAAGUCACUGCAAUAGCUUGUGCACCAAGCAACCAAAAGAUGGCUGUUGUUACCAUGGAUAGAGUAGUAAUUCUUUAUGAUGAACUUGGGGAAAAAAGAGACAAGUUUUCUACAAAACCAGCAAAUCCACAGGCUGGUAAGAAAAGCUAUAUAGUGAAAGGACUGGCUUUUUCACCAGAUUCUACUAAAAUUGCUGUUGGACAAACCGAUAACAUUAUUUUUGUCUACAAGAUUGGUGAAGAAUGGGGAGACAAGAAAGUUAUAUGUAACAAAUUCAUUCAACAAAGUGCUGUAACAUGCCUUAUUUGGCCUCCUGAACAGCAAAAUAUCAUCUUUGGACUAGCAGAUGGCAAGGUGAGACUUGCUAGUUUAAAGAACAACAAGUCCCAAACUAUAUAUGGAACAGAUAGCUUUGUUGUUUCACUGACUCACAAUAUCUCUGGCAAAGGUAUUCUUUCAGGACAUGCUGAUGGUGCAAUUGUCAGAUAUUUUUUUGAUGACGAAGGAACUGGAUUGUCACAGGGCCAACUGUGUAAGCAUUCUUGUCCCCCGUAUGCUUUAUGUUGGGGCUCAUCAAUAGUAGCAGCUGGAUGUGAUAAAAGAGUUGUUGCCUAUGGCAAGGAAGGGCGUGUUAUCCAGAACUUUGAUUACUCAAGAGAUGAUGAUGAAAAAGAGUUUACUACAGCUGUGUGUAGUCCUAGUGGCCAGUCAGUGGUGAUUGGGAGCUUUGAUAGAUUAAGAGUUUAUAACUGGAGUCCACGAAAAGGAUCAUGGGAUGAAUCAAAAUUGAAAGAAAUUCCCAAUCUCUACACCAUUACAGCAUUGUCAUGGAAACGGGAUGGCUCAAGGCUUAUAGCGGGAACACUGUGUGGUGGUGUUGAACUAUUUGAUUGCUGUUUAAGACGUUCCAUUUAUAAGAAUAAGUUUGAAAUGACAUAUGUUGGGCUUAGUCAGGUCAUUGUUAAAAAUCUUUCAUCUGGAACACGUGUUGUUCUGAAGUCACACUAUGGCUAUGAGGUUGAUAAAGUCAGCAUUAUGGGAAAAGAUCGUUACUUGGUGGCUUACACUACGGACACAUUAUUACUUGGUGAUCUUAACACCAACAAGCUAAGUGAAGUUGCAUGGCAAGGUUCAGGUGGAAAUGAAAAGUACUUUUUUGAAAAUGAAAAUGUGUGUAUGGUGUUUAAUGCUGGAGAGCUGUCUCUAGUAGAAUAUGGUAACAAUGAGAUCCUUGGAACUGUGAGAACUGAGUUCAUGAAUCCUCAUCUUAUUAGUGUUCGUCUUAAUGAACGCAAGCAACAGGGAAUUGAUGACAACAAAAAGAUGGCAUACUUGGUCGAUUUGAAGACUAUCAGUGUUGUUGAUCUUCUGUCUGGCAUUAUAGAAGCAACUAUCAGUCAUGACUCUAAGAUUGAUUGGCUUGAGCUCAAUGAAACUGGGAAAUAUUUACUAUUUAGAGAUAAAAAACUGAAACUCCAUCUUUUGAAUGUGGAAAGCCAAACCCGUACAACUAUCUUGAAUUAUUGCACAUAUGUUCAGUGGGUACCAAUGAGUGACGUUGUAGUUGCACAAAACAGAGGGAACCUUUGUAUUUGGUACAACAUUGAUUCACCUGAAAGAGUGACCAUGUUUCCUAUAAAGGGAGAAAUUUUGGACCUUGAGCGAGUUGAUGGUAAAACAGAAGUUAUAGUAAAUGAAGGUGUCACCAAUAUAUCAUACACAUUAGAUGAAGGUCUGAUUGAGUUUGGUACAGCUAUAGAUGAUGGCGACUAUGUCAGGGCUAUAACUUUUCUGGAAAGUCUUGAGAUGUCACCUGAGACUAAUGCUAUGUGGAAGACCUUGAGUAAACUAGCUCUUGAGGGACGUCAACUUCAUAUCGCUGAGCGUUGUUUUUCUGCACUUGGAGAUGUAUCUAAAUCCAAAGCACUUAGACAAAUCAACAAAAUAGUUGACCAAGCAGCUGAUGAAAUGGGGGGAGAUGGUACAAAUCAUGUGCUUGUAAGAGCAAAACUUGCUGUUUUGGACAAGAAUUUCAAACUUGCAGAAACAAUUCUGUUAGAACAAGGUCAUGUGGAUGAAGCCAUUGAGAUGUAUCAAGAACUUCAUAAAUGGGAUGAGGCUAUUGCAGUUGCUGAAGCUAAGGGUCAUCCUGAGUUGGAAAAUCUUCGUUCCAAUCACUAUCACUGGUUAUCAGAUACUGGGCAAGAAGAAAAGGCUGGUGAGGUCAAAGAAAUGGAAGGUAACUACCUGGAAGCCAUUAAUUUAUAUAUGAAGGCUGGUUUGCCUGCUAAAGCUGCAAGACUUGCCAUGAGUAGAGAGGAGCUUUACCAGUCAACAGACUUGAUGGAGCGCAUUGCAUCAUCUUUACUAAAAGGAGGUUUAUAUGAAAAGGCUGGAGAGCUGUUUGAGAAAGUUGGCCGUAAUGACAGAGCAUUAGAGGCAUAUAGAAAAGGUGGAGCAUAUAGAAGAGCUGUUGAGCUGUCUCGUGCUUCCUACCCUCAUGAGGUUGUCAAGCUGGAGGAAGAAUGGGGUGAUCAUUUGGCAUCACAAAAACAACUGGAUGCUGCAAUCAAUCAUUACAUUGAAGCAGGGUGUUCAGUGAAGGCUAUUGAAGCUGCUAUUCAGGCCAGACAAUGGAACAAAGCAGUACAGAUAGUUGAACUACAAGAGGAUGCUGUUGCAGAGAGGUAUUACCACCACAUUGCACAGCACUAUUCCCAAGUACAGGAAUACAAGAUGGCUGAGAAGUUUUAUGUCAAGUCUGGGGAUCCAAGAGCAGCUAUUGAGAUGUAUACUAAAGCCAACAUGUAUGAAGCAGCACAUAAGAUUGCAGUACAGUGUAUGAAGCCUGAAGAAGUUGCAGUACUAUACAUAUCUCAAGCUCAAGAACUUGAGGCUCAAGGCCGAUUCAAGGAAGCAGAAAGAUUAUACUGCACUGUGGAUGAACCUGAUUUGGCUAUUAACAUGUACAAGAAAUUAAGACAGUAUGAUCACAUGAUAAGACUUGUCACUAUUUAUCAUAAAGACCUUUUGGUUGAUACUCACUUGCACCUUGCAAAGGAAUUUGAAAAUGAGAGUCAGCUGCGCCAAGCAGAGCAUCAUUACCUUGAAGCCAAAGAAUGGAAAGCAGCAGUUAAUAUGUAUCGUGCUAAUGAUAUGUGGGAAGAAGCAUACAGGACUGCUAAGCAAAAUGGUGGACCUAAUGCAGCAAAACAAGUAGCAUAUUUGUGGGCUAAAGGCUUAGGUGGUGAUUCAGCAGUGAAACUGCUGACAAAGUUUGGUCUGCUAGAAGCAGCUAUUGACUAUGCAGCAGAAAACUGUGCUUUUGAAUUUGCCUUUGAUCUGGCCCGUACAUCCAUGAAGCACAAGUUACCAGAUAUUCACCUUAAGUAUGCCAUGUACUUGGAAGAUGAAGGGAAAUACAAGGAUGCAGAAGAACAGUUUGUUAAAGCAGGGAGAGCUAAAGAGGCUGUGCUCAUGUAUGUUCAUAACCAAGACUGGGAUAGUGCACAACGAGUUGCUGAAGAGCAUGAUCCAGACAGUGUUGCAGACGUCAUGGUUGGACAGGCACGUGUAGCAUUUGAUCGUAAAGAGUAUCAAAAGACAGAAACCUUCCUGCUUCGAGCACAAAGACCAGAGCUUGCAGCCAAGUACUAUAAGGAUGCUGGAAUGUGGACAGAUGCACUACGGGUUGUCAAGGAAUAUCUACCACAUAAGCUGGAGCAAUGGCAGGAUGAGUAUGAUAGAGAAGUGCUUUCAAAGGGCAAUAGAGGUGCAGAGUCAUUACUAUCACAAGGCAAGGAAUGGGAGAAAAAGGGAGAAUACACAAGAGCCAUUGAUAUGUAUAUGAAGAUAACACCUAGUAUGACUAGUGAUCAUGACUUGGUAGAGGAUGCUAUGGUUAAGGCUGUAGAGUUAGCAAUGAAGUUCGUUCCUGAUCGUGCUGUAGAUAUAGCAAGUAUAGCCUGCCCUCGUCUGGCUGAUAUUAAGGCAUAUGAACAAGGUGCAGAGUUGUAUAUAGGUGUGGAAAUGAUUAAGGAGGCUAUUGACUUGUAUAUUGAUGGUGAAUUAUGGCCUAAAGCAAAGCGCUGUGCAGCUGAGAUAGCACCAAGGUAUGAACAGUAUGUUGAAGAUGCAUAUGUUAAGUUCUUAAAAAACAAAGGACAAGCAGAACAGCUUGUAGAUGUUGAUGUUAUUGCUGGACUUGACAUGAUGGUCCAGCGUGGUCAGUGGGAUAAGGCUAUUGAGACUGCUGAACAACAGGGCUACGAGGUUCUUAGCAAGUACGUUGCACUGUAUGCUGCUAGCAGUAUAAAAGAUGGCAAUUCUUUAAAGGCUCUGGAACUGUUUGCUCGAUAUGGAGCACCAUGUAACUCACAGGUAAUUAGUUUGAUGGUGAGUGAGUAUGAGCACCAUGUAACUCACAGAACUUCAACAUUUAUAAACGCAUUGUGAAUGAUGUUGUUUCAAUGCCUGACCUUGAUGGUCCUGAGAGCUACCGAACUUGGGCUGAUCUCAGAGAUGUUCUCUAUGAUAUUGUGGAGAGUAUGUCAAAAGCAGGUGAUAGCAGUUCAACGCAAUACAAAGAGUUUGAGGAAAUGCUUCAAAUUGCACAUUACUACAGUAACCGUGCUGCAGCACUGCAACAGAAAUCACUG